RNAcentral lists this ribosomal RNA (297 nucleotides) under Campylobacter coli. RNAcentral's name for it is "partial 16S ribosomal RNA". It matches the Rfam family "Bacterial small subunit ribosomal RNA", at positions 1231 to 1533 of the family's 1533-position model. The record is from RNAcentral. Lineage: Bacteria; Pseudomonadati; Campylobacterota; Epsilonproteobacteria; Campylobacterales; Campylobacteraceae. RNAcentral also lists the same sequence under 1 other name.
UGGCAUAUACAAUGAGACGCAAUACCGCGAGGUGGAGCAAAUCUAUAAAAUAUGUCCCAGUUCGGAUUGUUCUCUGCAACUCGAGAGCAUGAAGCCGGAAUCGCUAGUAAUCGUAGAUCAGCCAUGCUACGGUGAAUACGUUCCCGGGUCUUGUACUCACCGCCCGUCACACCAUGGGAGUUGAUUUCACUCGAAGCCGGAAUACUAAACUAGUUACCGUCCACAGUGGAAUCAGCGACUGGGGUGAAGUCGUAACAAGGUAACCGUAGGAGAACCUGCGGUUGGAUCACCUCCUUU